UACGGAGGGUGCAAGCGUUAUCCGGAUUCACUGGGUUUAAAGGGUGCGUAGGUGGGCAGGUAAGUCAGUGGUGAAAUCUCCGGGCUUAACCCGGAAACUGCCAUUGAUACUAUCUGUCUUGAAUACCGUGGAGGUUAGCGGAAUAUGUCAUGUAGCGGUGAAAUGCUUAGAUAUGACAUAGAACACCAAUUGCGAAGGCAGCUGGCUACACGAAUAUUGACACUGAUGCACGAAAGCGUGGGGAUCAAACAGG
RNAcentral lists this ribosomal RNA (253 nucleotides) under uncultured bacterium. Its description in RNAcentral is "partial 16S ribosomal RNA". It matches the Rfam family "Bacterial small subunit ribosomal RNA", at positions 524 to 776 of the family's 1533-position model. The record is from RNAcentral.